UCAGAACGAACGCUGGCGGCAGGCUUAACACAUGCAAGUCGAGCGCCCUGCUUGCAGGGAGCGGCAGACGGGUGAGUAAUGCAUGGGAAUCUACCCAGCUCUACGGAAUAACUCAGGGAAACUUGAACUAAUACCGUAUGCGCUUCGGGGGAAAGAUUUAUCGGAGUUGGAUGAGCCCAUGUCUGAUUAGCUAGUUGGUGGGGUAAAGGCCUACCAAGGCGACGAUCAGUAGCUGGUCUGAGAGGAUGAUCAGCCACACUGGGACUGAGACACGGCCCAGACUCCUACGGGAGGCAGCAGUGGGGAAUAUUGGACAAUGGGGGCAACCCUGAUCCAGCCAUGCCGCGUGAGUGAUGAAGGCCCUAGGGUUGUAAAGCUCUUUCACCGGUGAAGAUAAUGACGGUAACCGGAGAAGAAGCCCCGGCUAAUUCGUGCCAGCAGCCGCGGUAAUACGAAGGGGGCUAGCGUUGUUCGGAAUUACUGGGCGUAAAGCGCGCGUAGGCGGAUCGGUCAGUUAGGGGUGAAAUCCCGGGGCUCAACCCCGGAACUGCCUCUAAUACUGCCGAUCUAGAGUUCGAGAGAGGUGAGUGGAAUUCCGAGUGUAGAGGUGAAAUUCGUAGAUAUUCGGAGGAACACCAGUGGCGAAG
RNAcentral lists this ribosomal RNA (647 nucleotides) under alpha proteobacterium GWS-BW-H225. RNAcentral describes it as "bacterial SSU rRNA". It matches the Rfam family "Bacterial small subunit ribosomal RNA", at positions 24 to 720 of the family's 1533-position model. Lineage: Bacteria; Pseudomonadati; Pseudomonadota; Alphaproteobacteria. The record is from RNAcentral.